CUUCGGGUGCUGACGAGUGGCGGACGGGUGAGUAAUGCGUAGGAAUCUGUCUUUUAGUGGGGGACAACCCAGGGAAACUUGGGCUAAUACCGCAUGAGCCCUGAGGGGGAAAGCGGGGGAUCUUCGGACCUCGCGCUAAGAGAAGAGCCUACGUCUGAUUAGCUAGUUGGUAGGGUAAAGGCCUACAAGGCGACGAUCAGUAGCUGGUCUGAGAGGACGACCAGCCACACUGGGACUGAGACACGGCCCAGACUCCUACGGGAGCAGCAGUGGGGAAUUUUUCGCAAUGGGGGCAACCCUGACGAAGCAAUGACCGCGUAGGAUGAAGAAGGCCUUC
RNAcentral lists this ribosomal RNA (337 nucleotides) under uncultured bacterium. RNAcentral's name for it is "bacterial SSU rRNA". It matches the Rfam family "Bacterial small subunit ribosomal RNA", at positions 78 to 419 of the family's 1533-position model. The record is from RNAcentral.